AACGCGAAGAACCUUACCCAGUCUUGACAUGCAGAGGACGAUAUCAGAGAUGGUAUUUCCCUUCGGGGUCUCUGCACAGGUGCUGCAUGGCUGUCGUCAGCUCGUGCCGUGAGGUGUUGGGUUAAGUCCCGCAACGAGCGCAACCCUUAUCAUUAGUUGCCAACACGUAAUGGUGGGAACUCUAAUGAGACUGCCUGGGUUAACCAGGAGGAAGGUGAGGAUGACGUCAAGUCCGCAUGGCCCUUAUGACUGGGGCUACACACGUGCUACAAUGGUCGGUACAGAGGGCAGCGAAGCCGCGAGGUGAAGCAAAUCCCAUAAAGCCGAUCUCAGUUCAGACUGUAGUCUGCAACUCGACUACAUGAAGACGGAAUUGCUAGUAAUGGCGUGUCAGCAACAACGCCGUGAAUACGUUCCCGGGCCUUGUACACACCGACUGUAC
RNAcentral lists this ribosomal RNA (442 nucleotides) under uncultured bacterium. Its description in RNAcentral is "bacterial SSU rRNA". It matches the Rfam family "Bacterial small subunit ribosomal RNA", at positions 958 to 1399 of the family's 1533-position model. The record is from RNAcentral.